CUCAAGCAAGCUUAUUGGUGGACUCGAAUGAAGCGCGAGAUCGCUCAAUUCGUGAAUGAAUGUGAUGUCUGCAGAAGAGUGAAGGCAGAACACCAAAGGCCAGCUGGUCUCCUCCAACCUCUUGCCAUUCCAGAAUGGAAGUUUGACCACAUUGAAAUGGACUUCGUGACUGGGUUUCCAAAGUCCAAGCGUGGCAAUGAUGCUAUAUUUGUUGUCAUCGACAAGCUCACCAAAGUGGCUCAUUUUCUGCCUAUCAAAGAGUCGAUCACUGCAGCUCAAUUGGCGGAACUCUAUUCCUCUCGCAUUGUCUCUCUGCACGGUAUUCCUCAAGUGAUAUCUUCAGACCGUGGCAGCAUCUUUACCUCCAAGUUUUGGGAUUCUUUUCAGAAGGCCAUGGGCACCAACAUC
RNAcentral lists this ribosomal RNA (408 nucleotides) under Triticum aestivum (bread wheat). RNAcentral describes it as "partial small subunit ribosomal RNA". Lineage: Eukaryota; Viridiplantae; Streptophyta; Magnoliopsida; Poales; Poaceae. The record is from RNAcentral.